This 346-nucleotide ribosomal RNA is filed under the name uncultured bacterium. RNAcentral's name for it is "bacterial SSU rRNA". It matches the Rfam family "Bacterial small subunit ribosomal RNA", at positions 8 to 334 of the family's 1533-position model. The record is from RNAcentral.
AGAGUUUGAUUCUGGCUCAGGAUGAACGCUGGCGGCGUGCUUAACACAUGCAGGUCGAACGAAGCACCAUAGACAGAAAUCUUCGGAUGGAAGACUAUGGUGACUGAGUGGCGGACGGGUGAGUAACGCGUGGGUAACCUGCCGUAUACAGGGGGAUAACAGUUAGAAAUGACUGCUAAUACCGCAUAAGCGCACAGAGUCGCAUGACUCGGUGUGAAAAACUCCGGUGGUAUACGAUGGACCCGCGUCUGAUUAGGUAGUUGGCGGGGUAACGGCCCACCAAGCCCGCGAUCAGUAGCCGACCUGAGAGGGUGACCGGCCACAUUGGGACUGAGACACGGCCCAA